UCCCCCCAGAUUCCUUACCUCUCAGAUCUAAACAUUGGUCUGGGUGGCUGGAAAAUGAGGAAAAGUCAAACUGACGUGGACUUAGAUUCUUCAGAGACAUACAAGGUCAUUGUAAACAAAC
This 121-nucleotide small nucleolar RNA is filed under the name Echinops telfairi (small Madagascar hedgehog). RNAcentral's name for it is "Small nucleolar RNA SNORA61 (ENSETEG00000024315.1)". Lineage: Eukaryota; Metazoa; Chordata; Mammalia; Afrosoricida; Tenrecidae. The record is from RNAcentral.